AUGAGCAGACCCGCGGCUCUCGUGCUGAUCAUCCUCAUCAUUGCCUCCGGCGGGGUCGGCUUGGCCGCGCGGCCACUGGCGGGCGGAGGACGCGCCGCAAGGGAGCUCACGGGCGCCACCGACUCGUCGGCGCAGCCGUCCAAUUGCACCUACGGGCACAAUACCGGCGGCCAGUGCCCUCCUAGCCCCGCCGCCCACAGUUAG
RNAcentral lists this ribosomal RNA (204 nucleotides) under Triticum aestivum (bread wheat). Its description in RNAcentral is "partial small subunit ribosomal RNA". Lineage: Eukaryota; Viridiplantae; Streptophyta; Magnoliopsida; Poales; Poaceae. The record is from RNAcentral.